AAUGUUAAAUAGUGUAUUGAUAAUUUUUAAAUUGUUUAAAUUUUCGUAGCUAAUGUAGUAUCGGAAACAUCGACAAAGAAAGGAAAAGAGAAAGUGGACGAAGAGUAACUUCAGAAUUACGUGUCGGGCUAGUCGAAUAUAAUUGGCAUGCCAUAAGAUUCGAAGCAUUCAGGGAUACUUCGACCUGUAGUCGAUGAGGCACUAUAAGUGUCGUACUGUUACUGUUACUGUGCCGGAUUAAAUUCAAAUGAGGUUAGGUACAAAAGUGACUAACGUCUCAGCAUCCAAGCCAACUCUUGAACUCAAAUACUUGGUGAUGUAUCUUAUCUUAAGAAAUGGCAUGUACCUAGGUUGUCUUUGAUGUUAUUUUGAAUAUAAGUGAUGUUAAUGGAUAGUUAAUAAAUGUAAAGUGUAUGUUAUAAUAUAUUCCAUUUUGAAUUGAUUUGAAUGGUUAUUAAAAUA
This is a long non-coding RNA of Gossypium arboreum, 462 nucleotides long. RefSeq lists it as uncharacterized. Lineage: Eukaryota; Viridiplantae; Streptophyta; Magnoliopsida; Malvales; Malvaceae. The transcript is spliced from 3 exons. The record is from RefSeq and is a predicted model, not a curated record.